UGGGGAAUAUUGCACAAUGGGCGCAAGCCUGAUGCAGCCAUGCCGCGUGUGUGAAGAAGGCCUUCGGGUUGUAAAGCACUUUCAGCGGGGAGGAAGGCGGUGAGGUUAAUAACCUCAUCGAUUGACGUUACCCGCAGAAGAAGCACCGGCUAACUCCGUGCCAGCAGCCGCGGUAAUACGGAGGGUGCAAGCGUUAAUCGGAAUUACUGGGCGUAAAGCGCACGCAGGCGGUCUGUCAAGUCGGAUGUGAAAUCCCCGGGCUCAACCUGGGAACUGCAUUCGAAACUAGUAGGCUAGAGUCUUGUAGAGGGGGGUAGAAUUCCAGGUGUAGCGGUGAAAUGCGUAGAGAUCUGGAGGAAUACCGGUGGGGAAGGCGGCCCCCUGGACAAAGACUGACGCUAAGGUGCGAAAGCGUGGGGAGCAAACAGG
Molecule: ribosomal RNA, 429 nt
Filed under: Chloroflexota bacterium
Lineage: Bacteria; Bacillati; Chloroflexota
Description: Chloroflexi bacterium partial 16S ribosomal RNA
Rfam family: Bacterial small subunit ribosomal RNA
Source: RNAcentral